This 965-nucleotide ribosomal RNA is filed under the name Chlamydocillium curvulum. RNAcentral describes it as "Kiflimonium curvulum partial large subunit ribosomal RNA". It matches the Rfam family "Eukaryotic large subunit ribosomal RNA", at positions 126 to 1121 of the family's 3401-position model. The record is from RNAcentral. Lineage: Eukaryota; Fungi; Ascomycota; Sordariomycetes; Hypocreales.
UCUGUCCUCGGGCCCGAGUUGUAAUUGCAGAGGAUGCUUUGGCGACGUGCCUACCGAGUUCCCUGGAACGGGACGCCAUAGAGGGUGAGAGCCCCGUACGGUAGUGUCACCGAGCCUCUGUAAAGCUCCUUCGACGAGUCGAGUAGUUUGGGAAUGCUGCUCUAAAUGGGAGGUGUAUGUCUUCUAAAGCUAAAUACCGGCCAGAGACCGAUAGCGCACAAGUAGAGUGAUCGAAAGAUGAAAAGUACUCUGAAGAGAGAGUUAAACAGCACGUGAAAUUGUUGAAGGGGAAGCGUUUAUGACCAGACUUGGGGUCUGCCGAUCAACCAGCGUUCUCGCUGGUGCACUCGGUAGGCUCUAGGCCAGCAUCGGUUCGCGCCGGGGGAUAAAGGCUUCGGGAACGUAGCUCCUUCGGGAGUGUUAUAGCCCGUUGCGUAAUACCCUGGUGCGGACUGAGGAACGCGCUUCGGCACGGAUGCUGGCGUAAUGGUCACCAACGACCCGUCUUGAAACACGGACCAAGGAGUCGUCCUCGUAUGCGAGUGUUCGGGUGUCAAACCCCUACGCGGAAUGAAAGUGAACGCAGGUGAGAGCUUCGGCGCAUCACCGACCGAUCCUGAUGUUCUCGGAUGGAUUUGAGUAAGAGCAUACGGGGCCGGACCCGAAAGAAGGUGAACUAUGCCUGUGUAGGGUGAAGCCAGAGGAAACUCUGGUGGAGGCUCGCAGCGGUUCUGACGUGCAAAUCGAUCGUCAAACAUGGGCAUGGGGGCGAAAGACUAAUCGAACCUUCUAGUAGCUGGUUCCCGCCGAAGUUUCCCUCAGGAUAGCAGUGUUGAAUUCAGUUUUAUGAGGUAAAGCGAAUGAUUAGGGACCAGGGGGCGCUAUUUAGCCUUCAUCCAUUCUCAAACUUUAAAUAUGUAAGAAGCCCUUGUUUCUUAACUGAACGUGGGCAUUCGAAGAUCAAC